This 407-nucleotide ribosomal RNA is filed under the name Verrucomicrobiota bacterium. RNAcentral's name for it is "Verrucomicrobia bacterium partial 16S ribosomal RNA". It matches the Rfam family "Bacterial small subunit ribosomal RNA", at positions 355 to 776 of the family's 1533-position model. The record is from RNAcentral. Lineage: Bacteria; Pseudomonadati; Verrucomicrobiota.
UGGGGAAUAUUGGACAAUGGAGGCAACUCUGAUCCAGCAAUUCUGUGUGUGUGAAGAAGGUUUUAGGACUGUAAAACACUUUUAGUAGGGAAGAAAGAAAUGACGGUACCUACAGAAGAAGCGACGGCUAAAUACGUGCCAGCAGCCGCGGUAAUACGUAUGUCGCGAGCGUUAUCCGGAAUUAUUGGGCUUAAAGGGCAUCUAGGCGGUUAAACAAGUUGAAGGUGAAAACCUGUGGCUCAACCAUAGGCUUGCCUACAAAACUGUUGAACUAGAGUACUGGAAAGGUGGGUGGAACUACACGAGUAGAGGUGAAAUUCGUAGAUACGUGUAGGAAUGCCGAUGAUGAAGAUAACUCACUGGACAGAAACUGACGCUGAAGUGCGAAAGCUAGGGGAGCAAACAGG